UCUUAGGUGCUCUCCUUCCUCACAUAUCUCCAUAAAAAAGAGAAUGAAAUAAGGAGAAAAAAAAAAGCAAAAAGAAAAAAAAUGAUCAAUCUAUGUGAGAAAAGGCCUAAUCUUUUAAUUUUUUUCAUCUUUCCUUCAUUGAUUUUGCCUAUAUUUUUUUUGAAUUUUUCAUCUAUUUUUCCAUCCAGGAGUCAAUCGGUUGGGAUGCUUGGAGAGGUGGUAGAAUGGGGAAGCUUUGAUGGUGGCUAG
Molecule: long non-coding RNA, 249 nt
Filed under: Elaeis guineensis (African oil palm)
Lineage: Eukaryota; Viridiplantae; Streptophyta; Magnoliopsida; Arecales; Arecaceae
Description: long non-coding RNA (EGUI_LNC024806)
Source: RNAcentral